This 198-nucleotide ribosomal RNA is filed under the name uncultured bacterium. Its description in RNAcentral is "partial 16S ribosomal RNA". It matches the Rfam family "Bacterial small subunit ribosomal RNA", at positions 1303 to 1500 of the family's 1533-position model. The record is from RNAcentral.
GGCUGAAACUCGCCUAUAUGAAGUCGGAAUUGCUAGUAAUCGCAGAUCAGCAUGCUGCGGUGAAUACGUUCCCGGGCCUUGUACACACCGCCCGUCACACCAUGAGAGUCGAUAACACCCGAAGCCUGUAGUCUAACCGUAAGGAGGACGCAGUCGAAGGUGGGAUUGAUAAUUAGGGUGAAGUCGUAACAAGGUAUC